GAUGAACGCUAGCUACAGGCUUAACACAUGCAAGUCGAGGGGCAGCAUGGUCUUAGCUUGCUAGGACUGAUGGCGACCGGCGCACGGGUGAGUAACACGUAUCCAACCUGCCGUCUACUCUUGGACAGCCUUCUGAAAGGAAGAUUAAUACAAGAUGGCAUCAUGAGUCCGCAUGUUCACAUGAUUAAAGGUAUUCCGGUAGACGAUGGGGAUGCGUUCCAUUAGAUAGUAGGCGGGGUAACGGCCCACCUAGUCUUCGAUGGAUAGGGGUUCUGAGAGGAAGGUCCCCCACAUUGGAACUGAGACACGGUCCAAACUCCUACGGGAGGCAGCAGUGAGGAAUAUUGGUCAAUGGGCGAGAGCCUGAACCAGCCAAGUAGCGUGAAGGAUGACUGCCCUAUGGGUUGUAAACUUCUUUUAUAAAGGAAUAAAGUCGGGUAUGCAUACCCGUUUGCAUGUACUUUAUGAAUAAGGAUCGGCUAACUCCGUGCCAGCAGCCGCGGUAAUACGGAGGAUCCGAGCGUUAUCCGGAUUUAUUGGGUUUAAAGGGAGCGUAGAUGGAUGUUUAAGUCAGUUGUGAAAGUUUGCGGCUCAACCGUAAAAUUGCAGUUGAUACUGGAUAUCUUGAGUGCAGUUGAGGCAGGCGGAAUUCGUGGUGUAGCGGUGAAAUGCUUAGAUAUCACGAAGAACUCCGAUUGCGAAGGCAGCCUGCUAAGCUGCAACUGACAUUGAGGCUCGAAAGUGUGGGUAUCAAACAGGAUUAGAUACCCUGGUAGUCCACACGGUAAACGAUGAAUACUCGCUGUUUGCGAUAUACAGCAAGCGGCCAAGCGAAAGCGUUAAGUAUUCCACCUGGGGAGUACGCCGGCAACGGUGAAACUCAAAGGAAUUGACGGGGGCCCGCACAAGCGGAGGAACAUGUGGUUUAAUUCGAUGAUACGCGAGGAACCUUACCCGGGCUUAAAUUGCAGAUGAAUUACAGUGAAAGCCGUAAGCCGCAAGGCAUCUGUGAAGGUGCUGCAUGGUUGUCGUCAGCUCGUGCCGUGAGGUGUCGGCUUAAGCGCCAUAACGAGCGCAACCCUUGUUGUCAGUUACUAACAGGUUCCGCUGAGGACUCUGACAAGACUGCCAUCGUAAGAUGUGAGGAAGGUGGGGAUGACGUCAAAUCAGCACGGCCCUUACGUCCGGGGCUACACACGUGUUACAAUGGGGGGUACAGAGGGCCGCUACCACGCGAGUGGAUGCCAAUCCCCAAAACCUCUCUCAGUUCGGACUGGAGUCUGCAACCCGACUCCACGAAGCUGGAUUCGCUAGUAAUCGCGCAUCAGCCACGGCGCGGUGAAUACGUUCCCGGGCCUUGUACACACCGCCCGUCAAGCCAUGGGAGCCGGGGGUACCUGAAGUGCGUAACCGCGAGGAGCGCCCUAGGGUAAAACUGG
This 1439-nucleotide ribosomal RNA is filed under the name uncultured organism. RNAcentral's name for it is "16S ribosomal RNA". It matches the Rfam family "Bacterial small subunit ribosomal RNA". The record is from RNAcentral.